UACGGAGGAUCCGAGCGUUAUCCGGAUUUAUUGGGUUUAAAGGGUGCGCAGGCAGGGGAUUAAGUCGGCGGUGAAAUUUUGCAGCUCAACUGUAAAAGUGCCUUCGAAACUGGUUUCCUUGAGUGUAGAUGAAGUAGGCGGAAUUUGUGGUGUAGCGGUGAAAUGCAUAGAUAUCACGAGGAACUCCGAUUGCGCAGGCAGCUUACUAAACUACUACUGACGCUCAGGCGCGAAAGCGUGGGUAGCAAACAGGAUUAGAUACCCUGGUA
This 269-nucleotide ribosomal RNA is filed under the name uncultured prokaryote. Its description in RNAcentral is "partial 16S ribosomal RNA". It matches the Rfam family "Bacterial small subunit ribosomal RNA", at positions 524 to 792 of the family's 1533-position model. The record is from RNAcentral.